Long non-coding RNA from Gadus morhua (Atlantic cod), 366 nucleotides. RefSeq lists it as uncharacterized. Lineage: Eukaryota; Metazoa; Chordata; Actinopteri; Gadiformes; Gadidae. The record is from RefSeq and is a predicted model, not a curated record. The transcript has 4 exons.
GACGAGCUGGUAGGGGAGCCGUGAAUCUGGAGGAUGACCAUCACUCUACCAACAAGGAUUACUUUAGGGCCAGACGCACGCUGUUUGUUCCAGACCAGGACUCUGGCUGAGGAGAGCUGAUGGAGGAGCCAAGACUCUGGAGGACGACAUCACUCCACCAACCAGGAUCCUCCGACGAAUUACGUUUGUAACGAGACCAGGAAUCUGGAGGACUGAUGGAGAAGCCGUACAUCUGGAAGGCAAAUCCUGAGGACCACCAGGACUCUUUGUUCAGGUGGUCUGCAUUAUCUGGACAUGGUGGACUAGACACACCUGAGCUGAACCUCACCUGAUCCUGUUUGGUCGGGGGUAGACACACCUGAGCUA